AGAUUGAACGCUGGCGGCAUGCCUUACACAUGCAAGUCGAACGGCAGCACGGGAGCAAUCCUGGUGGCGAGUGGCGAACGGGUGAGUAAUACAUCGGAACGUGCCCAAUCGUGGGGAUAACGCAGCGAAAGCUGUGCUAAUACCGCAUAAGAUCUACGGAUAGAAAGCGAGGGAUCGCAAGACCUUGCGACGAAGUGGACGCGGCCGAGUGGACAAGUAGUUAGGUAGGUUAGGUAGAAGGGUAAAGGCUACCGAACC
Molecule: ribosomal RNA, 258 nt
Filed under: uncultured soil bacterium
Lineage: Bacteria
Description: partial 16S ribosomal RNA
Rfam family: Bacterial small subunit ribosomal RNA
Source: RNAcentral